GUGGGUGAAGGCCCCCCACUACUACUGCUGCGCCGUAUAUCUCUGCGGCGCGUAUCCUCCGUUGGGAUGGUUGGUUGGCUUCUCACGCGGGGGCCCGCCGGGAUCCGGUCGCCGCAUCCCGCACGCCGCGUCACCACCGGCGGAGCGCAGGACAGCUGAGCCGCCUUCGGGGAGGGGUGGAGCGGCGGCUCGGUGGUGGUGGUAUUUGGGGAGGAGCACUCGGCGAUUGGGCGCCCCCGCUGCGUGGUGGAGGCAGGGGGCGGACACGCGGUUGGCGGCGAAUUUACCACCGGGGGAGGCCAUUAACUCUGGCCACCUUGGCAUGCGGAUAGGCACGACGCCAUCUCCAUGGGAUGCCUCUGACCUCUGCGCAGGGAGGUGGAGUCGGCGUUGUGAUGGAGAGCGGCGCGAAGCGGCAUUUCUUCCCCCUUACGAGCUUGCAAAUCGGGGAUUUACAGUCAUAUCUUGCUGAUCUUACUGUAUUUGUGUGCCCUCAUACGAAGAAGUUUCUUAUAUUACUUGACAACCGGCCAUGGCUGCUAGACCAGGACACAAGACCAGCUCACCUAUGGCAACUGAUGGUCACAAAGUCAAGACUUUCACCUUUUGCAAUCACUAGAACUAGGAGAAGGGGAGAUGAAACUGGGAAGAAACUCGUAUUCUCUAAAGAUCCUAGACAUGGUUCUCAUUUGUGGAACCCGACAUCCAGAUGGUAUACCUUAAUUGAUGAUGCCAUGCGGAAUAAAAAGCUACAUGUGAAUAGGCUGAAGGAUUCUCGUCUGCUGAACAAGGAACUGCACAGAACCUUAUAUGGCUUUAUAAUUUUUGAGGUAGACUGGGCUGAUGUGCGCGGCAUGAAUUAUUUGAAUGAACUUCAGACUGAUACUUCAAUGGCAGUGGAGGCUAAAACAAUGAAGAGAUGGGAAUUUGAGAGUGUCAACCAAGCUUCAUCAUUGAUCACCUCAUGGUUUUGCGGAAAUUACUCUGAAUGCCAGCUGCUACAGUACCAUUUGAACAGCAUCUCUCCUAAAGGUGAUGUGUUCUAUGACACUCGGAAUUAUUUCUCAACACCUGAAUGGGAAAGCGAGAAUGUACAGAGUGAUGAUGAUGAUUCUGGACCUAGCCAAUGCAUGAGAGAGCCGUCAAGUUUUACAAGUUCCUCGUACACAUCACCUCCUUGCUCUGGACCUUACAAGAGAAGAAAGAUAAUAAGAUCCGAUGCGGGAAGUAAUAUGUCUGAAGAAUCAUAUUCCGAAGUUGUGACCUCACCAAGGUAUUCAUCAUCUUCUUCCUCAUGCUGCAGUGAUGAUGAUUGUGGCAAGACACUGCUUGAGCCUAGCACAUAUAAGGAUGUGUUGAUCUUAUUCCGGUUUGAUGAUCACGAUCUACCUUUCAAACUCAAAGAAGUGAUACUUUCUGAUGUGAGGCUGUUAACAUUGCUUGAGUAUGGCCUUCCUUCAUGGGUGAUUUUUUUCCAGUCAUAUCCAGUAUUCUGCAAGAUAUAUCGCCCAUGGAUGUGUCCUCUUGCCAGGGCAUUGUAUGUCUUGAUGUCAAUAGUUACUGUUCUCAUAGGGUUUUAUGAUCUAUACAAGAAUGUCCCCAUGUUGAAGGCAACUGCCUCAAGAUUAUUUGGCCCUUUCUUUGACUGGAUAGAGACGUGGGAAAUGAUCUCACGACUGAAGUAUCUUGGAACCAUGCUUUUUCUGCAUAACUUCCAGCAGGCUUUUACAUGGUCUCUUAAGAUUGUUACUGCUACUAAGUCUGCUCUUAGUAUUUUGACAAAGCCAAUAAUGGGGCCAAUUUUAGAGGUUCUUGAAUUUACCCUGCCGCUAUGGAACCUUUGUGCUGAAACAGUAGGACAUCUGAGCUCAGUUAUCAUGUUGGCGAUGGAAACUUCAUGCAGUGUAGUUAUCAGUACAAUACAGAUGAUUAUGUGGCCUUUUUGGUUAGUCUUCAGUGUUCUGCUUAAUAUUGCAAAUUCAGUUCUGUACCCUUUCAUUUGGCUCCUCGGAGAAAUUCUAGCUGCACCUUUCCGGCUUUUUGUUGUGCUAGCAAGUUUUGUAGCAGACAUUUUUGUGGACAUUGUUGGAGUCGUAAGGGAGACCUGGUCUGCAUUGAGUUCUCUGUAUCAAGUUGGUUCUCUGUCCAGAUCGACUGGCCUUGCAUCUGAAACUACCAUCUGGGGGUCACUAUGGAAAGAUCUUCUGUACCAGAUUUUUCGUGCUAUCCGAAGUAUUGUGUAUGGUUUUGUUGCCUUCUUUUCGACAUGUAAUAGGCACCGGCUUAGCAUUUACAACCACGUUCAAGUAUUUCUCCGACGGCUAUCUCGUGUUUUAAGUGGUGCACACCACACUACCUCUUGUGAAGCAGCCCGGAGAUAUUCUAGUCAAAAUCAUCAUAUCCAAUCUAUUCUUCGCCAUUGUCAUGUACUGCUCUGCUUGCACAUGGAGGUGGUGUAGCAUACUGCACGCGAUUCAUCCUGCCGCGUCACCCACGGCAUGUGGGGUUGGUGAACCAGCCUAUGAGUGCGGCAGUGCAAGAUCCAGGUAAUUGGCAAAAAGAACGUAGCGUGAGACGGACAAUAACGUUACUGCCAUUUCUGGCCGUGAGGCGUUCUGCUGAACUCUGAAGACGGCACAUGAAUCAGCAGCAGUGAUCUAGCAGAAGCAGCGUGGAGAUUUAUGGGAUUUGGAUGGUCCAUGAGUGAGAGUAGCUCACUGCUGGCUCACUGCAAUCAGUGUCAACUGUCAAGCGUGAAUAAUUUUUUGGUUCACAUGAGCACACUCUCUUCGGCGGUAUUUAGAUUGAGAAGAUAUCUGGGAGAAGUUCACGUCAAAUGUUUUAUCGGACGUCAGAAUGAGUUUUUGGACACGAAUGAAAAAACGAAU
This is an RNA transcript of Oryza brachyantha (malo sina), 2888 nucleotides long. RefSeq lists it as uncharacterized. Lineage: Eukaryota; Viridiplantae; Streptophyta; Magnoliopsida; Poales; Poaceae. The record is from RefSeq and is a predicted model, not a curated record. The transcript is spliced from 11 exons.